UCGGAAUUAGUGUCGAUUUUAGGUGUCACAGAAAUCAAUAAUAUCGAUUUUGCUAUCGGAAACAAACCAAGCAGCUAACAGCUCUUGGAUUUCAUUUGUUUAUUAGUUUUUCUUACUUCCAGUUAGACAUUUUAUAAAAAUGGGAAAGCAUAAAAAUGCAACUCAAAACAGCAUUAUCGUGGAAUUUAUGGAGAAAUAUCCAGAUAUUGCGAGAGGCUUUACAAAGCGGGAUAAACCAACUGUUGAUGCCCUUUGGCAACAGUUUAGUUGAGUCGCUGAACAGUGCAGGUCCACCACAAAAGGAUACCAAUGGAUGGAAAAAAACGUGGACGGAGUAGAAAAGUGACAUAAAAAGAAAGCUCGCACAAAACAAAAGCGAGUCUCGAGCAACUGGUGGAGGACCCUUUUCUAAGCACCAACUAACGCAAACGGAAGAGACAAUAGUGCGACAGAUAAACUGGGAAGCGUUUGAAACAAUUUCUCGAUGAAGACAAUGAGAGAAAGCUCGAAAUAAAUGAAAAAUUGAACGAGCUAAUUAAGAUUGAAAAAGAAAACGACAGUAGCCUCAGACGAGUGUAUAGAGCCAUAAAAAAAAGCAACGAAUCUGUCGCGAUUGCAGUAAUUGAGCUCAAGGAUGAAUUUGUCCGUAUUAAUACAGGUGUUUUGCGAGCGAUACAGGAAAAAAACGAAAUAAAAGAAAAGCAACUCGAGCUCGAACUCCUAAAGUUUGAUUACGAAAAACAGAAAGAAAAGUAAU
This is a long non-coding RNA of Rhagoletis pomonella (apple maggot), 757 nucleotides long. RefSeq lists it as uncharacterized. The record is from RefSeq and is a predicted model, not a curated record. The transcript has 3 exons. Lineage: Eukaryota; Metazoa; Arthropoda; Insecta; Diptera; Tephritidae.